UGUUGGUUUACGGAUCCGCCGACCCGAUUUUGCCGAUUUCCAGAAUAAAAAUAAAAUUGACUUUUCAUGCUUUUUUAUUCCCGCCGACCCUAAGAAAUGCAUUAUCCCUGAAAAAUAAUUAAAAUAAUUUUUUUUUAUGAAAUGAAAUGCAUUAAUCACUAACAAAAUUGAUAACACUUGCUGUUGUGAAAAAAUAAAACUUCCAGUUUACGUUUUUAAAUAUAGACAAAUCAAUUAUCAUAAUAACUGACCUUGAAAUGUCGUUUGCACAAAUAAUUUUGCGGAACGAAACUUGUGUUUAAAACCAAUUACACAAUAAGUUCGUUUCCCUUAUUUGUCAUCAGUCCGUAAGAUGCAUCAUCUCAUAGAAAUAGACUUGUCCAAAUGUGGAUAGGUUGAAGGCAUCAAGUUGAAGUAUUGAAUAUUAACAAAUCAUUUGGAAUUUUCUUGUUUCAUAGAUAAUAAAAAAAUUAUCGUCCAUUUGGAUAAAAAACGGGAAUGCGAGACAACAGAUUGACCCGAUAAUCUCGUUUUUCCAAUGGACGAGUCUAUUAGGUUUUUGACACGUGUGUUGAAACUUAUUUUCGUACGACGUUUUUACAUUUUUUUUCUUUAUCAGUUUUCGUGCUUGAAGAUCAUUAUUCACCAAGUUUUCUGGAAUUGAUUAAGAGCUACGCGAAUCUAUUUUUCUUGUUUCUGAAAUGACGAUUUAAUUUCAUCUUUGUCCGUGCACCCUCCUUUUUUUUACUGUAAAUUAUUAGACAAUGUCAUGCGAUGUUUAUAACAGCUGAGCAAUAAUAUUUCAUUGAACUAAAAUUUAAGAAAUGAUGAUAAAAUGGCAUAACAAACAUAUUGUUAGAAAGGUGAAAUAUAUAUUGAUUUUGCAUAUUUUUCUGUCUUCAAAGAUGAUUUUUUUUCUUUUUUUUUCCCGACCGACCGACCCGACUUUUUCAUGGGGAAAAUCCGUAAACCAACAAAUUAAAAAACCGUGCCUAAAUGGAUGAUGUACUUUUAUUUACUUGUUUAAUUGUAAAAUUAAACCCUUCAACCUGUCAACCUGUCGACCUUAACAUUUGUCAACCUGUCAACUUGUCGACCUUAACAUUUGUCAACCUGUCAACCUUAACACUUAUCAAACUGUCAACCUGUCGACCGUAACACUUGUCAACCUGUCAACCAUAACACUUGUCGACCUAUAUAGUGUCAACCUGUCGACCUGUCAGUCUGUAAAUUUAUGUUCAUAUACAUCGAUUUACUUCUAAAGUUAAACCGAUUUAUUACUCUGUUCUCCGAAGGAACUACAGUACCGUUUAUCCUAC
Molecule: long non-coding RNA, 1319 nt
Filed under: Mytilus galloprovincialis (Mediterranean mussel)
Lineage: Eukaryota; Metazoa; Mollusca; Bivalvia; Mytilida; Mytilidae
Source: RNAcentral